This 383-nucleotide long non-coding RNA is filed under the name Lactuca sativa (garden lettuce). RNAcentral's name for it is "long non-coding RNA (LSAT_LNC002452)". The record is from RNAcentral. Lineage: Eukaryota; Viridiplantae; Streptophyta; Magnoliopsida; Asterales; Asteraceae.
CCCAGAGGCUUUGGUCGUGGUCAACACGAACAGGAUGGUAAGUCUUAUUAUGAUAUAGUUGUUAGAUAUUUUUAUCCAUUUAUUAUAAGCUAUCGUGACUAAUAUUUUUAAUUAUAUUUUUCAGCCGAGCUCCCUAAGAAAAGAAGAGGCCUAGCAAAAAACAUUCAACUAUCAAAGAUAAUACGGGCAAACAAGGGAAAGCCUGUAGAUUUGGAUUUCGAUAGGGAGCUGACAUAUUCCCCUGUCGGGAACCAUGGUAAUUGGUUUACCCGUGAGAUUGGGAAGUAUAUAUGGAUGAACAUCCCUUUGAACGUAUCUGGUUGGGACAAUGUUUCCCCCGCUUUAAGGAAUGCCACAGUGGUUCAUUUAAAGGUAACUUGGAC